AAGCAAUCACACGACAAGUUAAGACGGGAGACGAAAGUUCGAUAUUUAUUUCUAUUGCUAAAGGAUGUUAAUUAAAAGUUCGGAUAUAUUCAACGAAAAAAUGGAGGAAGUAGUGGAACAAAAGCGGAGAAGAAAAACACGUCGUGGAAAGAAGACACGGCCGGUGUCAGUGAUGGAAAAUACUGGUUGUUCCAAUGAAGCUUGAAGCUUGAGCUGUGCCUGCCUCAAACGUGAGCAAACGGGAAUAUCCCUAUGUUCAGUUGUGUAUACUAAUAUAUACAUCGUUAUAAAAAAAGCCAGAGUUCCCCUGGGAGGUGACGUGGUCCACCAGCCUUGAGACUAGGGGGAGUUGCCUCCAUGUCGAUGAAGGGGCUGCACUUAUGUUGAAAAUGAGUAUAAUCAUGUACACACACAUUAUGAUUAUUAACCAUGG
Mya arenaria is the source of this 433-nucleotide long non-coding RNA. RefSeq lists it as uncharacterized. The record is from RefSeq and is a predicted model, not a curated record. Lineage: Eukaryota; Metazoa; Mollusca; Bivalvia; Myida; Myidae. The transcript is spliced from 3 exons.